Corapipo altera (White-ruffed manakin) is the source of this 674-nucleotide long non-coding RNA. RefSeq lists it as uncharacterized. The transcript has 6 exons. The record is from RefSeq and is a predicted model, not a curated record. NCBI's taxonomy places the organism in Eukaryota, Metazoa, Chordata, Aves, Passeriformes, Pipridae.
GGAGUAAGACCCUCUUGUCUGGAAGGAGUGUUGGUGGUGUAUAUCGAUUCGUAUGCAGACAGUGUCCAACAUUCUUUUUUUGAUGAAAAUAGUAACUAGUUGUUUAAUGCAACAACAGGAAGAAGAUACUUUUUCAGAUUUCACCAUCGAAGUAAAACUAGAAGUGUUCCAGUUGUCUUUUAACUUUGGAAACUAAUAUAUAAAGAAACAUAGAAGUCUCCUGCCUCAUCCCUGCUUUUGAACUGAGUCUUCUGAGUGGCAACUGCAUCACAGCAGCUUCUGCUAAUGCAAGAUUAAAGACAGAAGGCCUCCUUUAUGCUGUAUAAGUGGAUCCUAUAUUCUGUUUGUACACCAUUAUUCAGUAUACCCAGAAUGUUUUCUUGCCCCAGUGUGUGUGCCUCUAUUCACCUAGACAGAGUUGUGAACCUGAACGAUUCUCAACUGUGAGAUUUUUCUUGUGCAAGUGAUGAAAUGGAGAAAAGUCUGUUCUGGAAACCAGUUCAAGAAGUUUCUUCAGCACAUACGAUUUUCUGUGAACGACAAAAGAAAGAGUAAUUUCGUAAACUACUAUCACAUUGACUACAAAUCAGCUGCUCCAGACUUGUGUCCUAAGUGGUUUGCCAAAACAAUGGAAAUUUUAGAGAAUACAGGCAAUUUACAGAAAAAAAUCUCUA